GGGGUUGUCGCUCAGUGGUAGAGCGCUUGCCUAGCAUGUGUGAGGCACUGGGUUCGAUUCUCAGCACCA
RNAcentral lists this transfer RNA (69 nucleotides) under Ictidomys tridecemlineatus (thirteen-lined ground squirrel). RNAcentral's name for it is "Spermophilus tridecemlineatus (thirteen-lined ground squirrel) tRNA". It matches the Rfam family "tRNA". Rfam says of the family: Transfer RNA (tRNA) molecules are approximately 80 nucleotides in length. The record is from Rfam by way of RNAcentral. Lineage: Eukaryota; Metazoa; Chordata; Mammalia; Rodentia; Sciuridae.